Molecule: long non-coding RNA, 3282 nt
Organism: Manis javanica (Malayan pangolin)
Lineage: Eukaryota; Metazoa; Chordata; Mammalia; Pholidota; Manidae
Source: RefSeq, a predicted model, not a curated record
ACCUGACUUCAUCCACGGCGCCUACCCGGCGGCUGUACUGACCCGCGAGGCCGCGGGGCCCCGGCCGCUCCCGAUGCGACAGCAUCGGAGCCACCUGGCCGGGCUGUGCGCAGAGUGAGUUAAGGUGUGUGAAGCGAGAGCUUCCGGGGUCCCUGCAUAGACCUUCCCUCCACGUCCGGACCCGGGCCUGUGCCUCGGGUCCCACACCGCUGGCCGUACAGCCUUCUUUGUGCGUGCUGGGCUCCUGCCCUGGUCCUGUGCUGUCAUUCCACUAUUCCCAGGCUUCUGCCAUGUUCUGCCAGCCAGCCUGUGCCUGGCGAAGGGAGGGCCCUCUACACAGGUGCUGAUUACCUGACCGAGCGACAGCCCGUGUCCUCCGGGAGAUCUGCGCCUCCUGAACGGAUGUCCGCAAGGAAAGAUAUUUAUUGAAUGUCUGUCAUGUGCCAAUUCUGGGCACUGGGGAUGUAGCAGUGAACAAAACAAUCAACUCCCUGCCCUCAUGGAGCCUACAUUCCAGUAGAAGACAGACAACAAGUGGGUUUCAUCAGCCACCGGUGCCAGAGCCGGACACUGCAUCCUCCACGCCUGUUUACAUGGCUCCCGGGGAAACAGUGACUCAUGCCUGCCACCCAGAGGCUGUUCUCCUAAUUGCAGCCCACACCGUACCUCCCAGACUUCACUGUAUCUUCUGGGCACACACCAAGGACUGAACCUGCUGAGCAGCCCGGAAGAGCCCCCAGAGAACUGAGGGUGAAGGGCUGGUUCUAAGAAUGCUUGGCAGCUGGCCUGUCUUCACUGAAGGGUUGUGGUGCGGGGGCCCCCCAUCUGGGUUCCUAUUCCGGCUCUGUCGUCUGACUAGAUAACUCACUAUUGAACUUGAGCAAGACACAUGCCUGUAUAAAAACCCUUAAACUGGGUGGUUUCUCAUGUUCCCUUCUUGCUUAAAGAGUUUUUGAAAUAGUUUUAAAGAUUUUUGAAAAAGUUUUGAAAGUUUUAAAGAGUUUGUGAAAUCUCUGCAUGAAAUGGCGUUUCCACAUCACCCCAAAUCCCUUUCAGAUUCCUGCUUUCCCCAAACAUUCCUCCUGGCACCCAGGCACUGCCCCAUGCCCUCUGGCCCUGCCUUUCCUCCCAGUGCCCCAGGAUUCUGAACCUUUUUCUCUUCUUUUGCUCUCAUCAGAACUUCCCUCUCUGGUUCCACCAACUGAUGAGUGCUGAUGAAGGGUCAUUUUCUUCCACAUCUCUGAACCUCAACUUUUAAAUCUCUACAACAGAGAUAAUAUUUAUUUAUCUUAAAUGUUAUUAUGCAGAUUACAAAAAGUGUAUGCAAACCUUCUGGUGCACUAUCUGAGGUAUUUGAUAAACGGCAAACAUUAUUUUUAAAUGGACUCAGCUUAGACAUCAUUUUAUCUUUAAAACCUUUGGUUCCCACCAAGGGUGUUAAAUGUUCUUCAUCUGUGCUUCAAAGCCCAUGGGAAUAAUAGACCCCUGUGGUGGGCAGAAUAAUCCCUUCACUCCACAAAGAUGCCCAUGUCCUAAUCCCUGUAUCACAUGAGUACAUGACGUUACAUGGCAAGAGGGAAUUAAGGCUGCAGAUAGAAUUAAGGUUGUUGAUCAUCUCACCUUGAUUAUCAAGGGAUAUCCUGGCUAUUACCUUGGGGACACUGUCCUGGAUUAUCUGGAUGGCCCAGCGUAAUCACAAAUCUCCUUAGGAGGAGGAAAGCAGGAGAGGCACAGAGUUAGAUGUACGAUGGAAGCAGAGGCCCGAGUGAUACCAGUGCUGGCUUGGAAGAGAGAAGGCAGCCAGGAGCCAAGAAAUAAGACCAGCGUCUAGAAGCUGGAGAAGACAAGAAAACGGGCUUCCCCUAGAACCUCUAGAAAGGCCUACAGCCCUGCUGAUGCCUUGAUUUGAGCCCAGUGGGACCCAUUUCAGACUUCUGAUCUCUGGAACUGUAAGAUGAUAAGAUUGUGUUCCUAUAAGCCAAUAAUUUUGUGGUAAUUUGAUACAGCUACUAUUGGAAAUUUACACAACCCUCAGAUACAUUCAAUUUGCACAAUAAUCCAUUUAGUUGUCACUAUUCCUACUUUACAAUUGAGGAAACUGCAGCUUAGAGAAGUUAAGUAAAUUGUACAGCAGCUAUCAGACCUUUUGAUGCAAGUUAUAAAAAAAACAAUAACAAAUUGGCUUAAAUUAUGAAGGGGAUUUGUUGACACACAUAACUGAAGAAAAAUUACAGAGAAGUCAUGGAGAACAGGCAAGGCUUGAUCCACAAGCUAAAUGGAUGGCAUCAAGAAUGCAGUAUUUAUUUAUUCUCUCUGUUUUCUAACAGCUGUGGCUUUAUUCUCAGGUUCCCCAAGGUGGAUCCCACAGCUCCAGGUUCACCACAGUGGUGGUAAAAAUAGCUCCAACCUUUCCAGAUGUCACAACCUUUCUCCCCACAACUUUUAGAGAAGAAAGAAAGUUUCCUUUGUCAGAAAGCCUAGCAAAAGUCUUGUAAUUCGUUGCUUCUACUUAUGUAAAUCCCCAAUUCCUGAGCCAAAUAGGUACUGAGUCCAAUGGUGGACUUGUGAAGGGUGGGUAAGGAAGGGUCGAACUGCCUAAAGGAAAAUCAGAGUAGUUGGGGAAGGAGACACAAGAAAGGGUCAUCGAAUGUCCACAACGCUGGCUGGAAAAGGUCCUGAUGACAAAGUUGCUGCGUUCAAAUACUACUGCCUCCCAGGAACAUUGUUUUCUGGCUCUCUGGAUACAUUGUCACUGUCUAUUUUAUUCUCAGUGGUCUAUCGGGACUAAGACAUAAACCUGGAGCCAACCUAAUCUUUGUGUCCCCAGCAUCUAGCCUCUGGCCUGGCUGAGAUCAGCCAUCAGAGAAUCUUUUGUUAAAUGGGGCUGCUCUUCCCAUGCAAGUGAGAUUCAGAAAGCUCCUGAAAUGGCCCCCGCACCCGCCACCACCUUUCUGUGAUUCUGUGAGAGAGCUGCCCCAUGUUUCUGAGAAAAUAGAAGUUCUUCAGCUGAUACAAGAAGAGGCUUGUAUGUGAGCCUGUUUGAGUUGGAUGUUUCUUGCAGCAAGAAACACACUGAUACUCAUGUCUUAUGGGGUGUUUGAGGGUUUAAAUGCGAAUGCAUGUAAAGUGCUUAAAAAGAUUUAAUAGGAGUGAGCUAUUAUUAUUUUAUUAACACUUAAAAUGUCAUCAUUUAUUUAUGAGCUCCUCAAGGGCAAGCCCUUUCCCCUUCACUAUUCUGGAAUGUAACAGAUGAUACCUCAGUGAUCGUUGAACCAAAUUAAA